AAGGCCUAGGGGAGGCCGAAGCGGAGAAGUUGCCUGAAGACUGGGAAGUAAGAGUAGGGGCGUCGGAGGAAUCGAAGUUGCAGUGACAUCAGGCUCGGACAGCCGGCGGACUCCUCGCAAGGCCUCAAACUUCUUCAUGGGAAAAGAUGGCUUCUCUUUUUUAAUUGAAUGAACUAGAAGAAGUUCAUUGUUAUUCAUCAACUUCAAAGAGACUAUAUGAGGCCCCUUGGCCAGGACUACAGAGCAGUAUUUUUUAAUCAGAAAUUAUAGCCAAAAAGAAGAGACCAGAACACAUGGGGGAUGAAGUGGGAUGAGAGGAAGGAGAAGAGAUGAAGGUGAAAGACCACUCUGAGGUCAAGAUAAACUUUGUUAAAAUUACAUGGUGUUUCAUCUGGAUGUAUUCACAGUAAAAAUUAGUUCAAUAUAGUUUAUUUUUAGCUUGCAAAAAAGCAUAUAGGGAGAAAGAUCAGAAAGGACACUCAGUGGGGAGGAGAGCAGAGUUUUUGAUGUCGUUAUCAUUAUUUUAAUACACUUGAGAGCUAAGUAGGGGGGCUCAGUUUGUGAACAUUCACUGAGCUUUAUGCCUAAGAUAUGUGCACUUUUCUAUGCAUAUGAAAACAAAAAGAACACAACAUAUGGAGUAAACAAUGUCCUAAUGAGACUGUGACUAGAAUAUUACCAAAGUGGCAUUCAGGAAGAUAGCA
This 704-nucleotide long non-coding RNA is filed under the name Homo sapiens (human). Its description in RNAcentral is "HSALNT0364446". The record is from RNAcentral. Lineage: Eukaryota; Metazoa; Chordata; Mammalia; Primates; Hominidae.